Molecule: ribosomal RNA, 742 nt
Filed under: Hysterothylacium fabri
Lineage: Eukaryota; Metazoa; Nematoda; Chromadorea; Rhabditida; Raphidascarididae
Description: eukaryotic LSU rRNA
Rfam family: Eukaryotic large subunit ribosomal RNA
Source: RNAcentral
CGAGGAUUCCCCUAGUAACGGCGAGUGAACGGGGAAAAGCCCAGCGCUGAAUCCUUCGGCCACUGGUCGCUUGGAAUUGUAGCGUAUAGGUGCGGCCGUCCGGCCGUUUCGCUUACCCAAAGUCCCCUUGAGCGGGGCUAUUGUCCAAAGAAGGUGCUAGACCUGUACGGGUGGUGAGAUGGUCGGUUGGUUGCUCCUUGGAGUCGGGUUGCCUGGGAUCGCAGCCCAAAGUUGGUGGUAGACCUCAUCUAAGGCUAAAUAUGGCCACGAAACCGAUAGCAAACAAGUACCGUGAGGGAAAGUUGCAAAGAACUUUGAAGAGAGAGUUCAAGAGGGCGUGAAACCGCUGAGAUUGAAACGGAUAGAGUUGACGGAACUCGGCUGCAUUCAUUCGGUCGGCCUAGCGGCCCGAUGGGACUGGCUUCCUCGAUGAGGGCAGUUCUGUCGGUAGCUGUUGGGUGCUUGAUUGGUGUAUUUGCGGCUGGUAUGCGCUGAGAGCCUUGUGGUCGCAUGUUGACGAGUGCGUAGUGGACCAUUCCUUACGGGCGUGGAACCCUCCGUGCUUUGAGGCAUGUUGGCCAUGAGGUUUCGAACGUAGCGUCUCCGCUAUGGUGCGUCGGCCCUGUCGAGCUGUAGCUGCUGUGGUAUGGUCGCGUGCGACCUGCUGUAGUUGGCGAUGGCGUGACGGGGUGCGGGCGCGUCGAGACGUCCAUCUCGGUGUGAACGUUGACCACCUAUCCGA